GCGCGAGCUCGGGGGGCGGGGCUGUUGGAACUCCUGCUCCACGGCUUGGGGCCGUGUCUGGCCAAGGAGCACCGAGGGGGGCGGAGCCAUGGUACGGCUGCCCCCUGCCGGCCACUUUUCCAGCCCCCUCUAGGCGUUAACUGCCCGGCCAGCGACCGCCCCUUCUCUCGGGAGCUGCCGGAAAACCGGGGAUACAAGUUAUUUGGUCCAGAGACUGUCAGCCAUAUACAUCUUUGUACAGCACCCAGCACAAGGGAGCCCUAGUGUUGACUGGACCCUUUGGAUGACAUAGGACUUAUAUGAAUGACCAGGAAAUACAACUUGCAUCUUUUAUAUGCAUUUGGUAUUGUUACUACCUUGACUCUUUUGCCAGGCUGCCUAACAUUCUCAGCACUGUGCAACAUAUAUCUGCACCAAUUUGCAGGAAUACUGUAUUCAUGUACAGGAUUUGUUUUGUGCACCAUUACCUCCACAGCUAAUAAAUUAGUUUUAUAAAAUGA
Long non-coding RNA from Mauremys reevesii (Reeves's turtle), 500 nucleotides. RefSeq lists it as uncharacterized. Lineage: Eukaryota; Metazoa; Chordata; Testudines; Geoemydidae. The record is from RefSeq and is a predicted model, not a curated record. The transcript is spliced from 2 exons.